Molecule: long non-coding RNA, 830 nt
Organism: Triticum aestivum (bread wheat)
Lineage: Eukaryota; Viridiplantae; Streptophyta; Magnoliopsida; Poales; Poaceae
Exons: 4
Source: RefSeq, a predicted model, not a curated record
CGGCGGCCAGAUCCACCCCCUCCCUCAUCUCCUCGCUGCCGCCACCUCCUCCCCGUCCUGCAGCGGCGCGUCCCGCCACCACCUCCUUCCUCGAUGAGUCCCGCAGCGACGCCCAUCGCGUCCCGCAGAUGCCGUCCCUCUCCCUCAAUCGAGGCGUGCGCAACCACCUCGCGGCGCGACGCGUGCCACGGCGCGCGCGUACGUGUGCGUUGCUGCACUAAACAAAAGGGCCGUCCCUCCCAUCCCAUCGCCGCCGACAGAGCGCACCCACCUCCACCUCCGCCUCCAUUCAUUCGUGGAGAACCGAUUCCCGGCGCCACCGGCCGACUCUCCGUCACUUUCCCUAAGGAGGCGCCGGUACCGGAUGUCGGAGGGGUCGAUUCCUAAGGAGGCGGUGUACCAGAUCAUCAGCGACGAGCUGAUGCUGGACGGGAACCCGCGGCUGAACCUGGCAUCCUUCGUCACCACCUGGAUGGAGCCCGAGUGCGGCAAGCUCAUGAUGGACUCCGUCAACAAGAACUACGUCGACAUGGACGAGUACCCAGUCACCACCGAGCUCCAGACCAGGAAAUGAAAGAUCGCUCGACAAACGGCCGCUUCCAGUCAGUUGGAUCUGAUCUUAUACCCGCACACGAGAGCUACCGGAGCAGCAACAGAUUAACAAGGACCCAAGCUGGACUCCCAAGUUCUUCGGCUCAAGGCGCUAAGGUGUUGGAGACGUGCCUGUACUUGUUGAGCGUUUUAUCUGUAGAGUGCUAUAUUGUGAUUGGUGUAAUAUUGUAUGGCUAUAUUGUGAUUGGUGGAAUGUAAUAAACUUGAUUGGUAUAUUG